ACAGAAAUAGGAUCCGAAGAGUGCCUUUCUUGCCAACUUAGACUUGUUCUCACAUGCGACUUGUCGUUCGCAACUAUAACCGCACGGCAGCACUGGCACCCCUCUGUUUCAAGUUUCAAGCUUCAAGCAAAAAAGUUCUAAAGCAAAAUCUUUGAACAACCAAAGGCAAAAGUGAAACUCCAUGUUAGCUACUAAAGGGUCAACAACAGAGCAACCAAUUCCUCCACAAGUGGAAGAAGAAUCAAGUGUUUGCAAACAAGAAGAGGAAGGAGAAGAUGCUAAGAUAAGGGUGGUUAUAGCACAAGAGGGAAUUGAAGAGUGCAAAACACCAACUGGGUCAGGCUACAAGAUUCCCAUAGUUCAAAAAUGCCCACUUGCCCCAAGAAAGAAAAGAAGGCCAGUGCCACCUUUUUCUUCACAAAUGAAAACAUCAUCAUCUAGUGGGUUGAGCUAUGUAGUAAGGCAUGAAGAGGUAGAGACUUUCUUCCAAUCCAUGUUCGAGCUUACUAGAGUUAACAAGAGAUGUAGGAGUGUAUGAAAGUUCUUAGUGAAUAACUGUGGGUGAAUAUCCUCACAUGAAUUAUAGCAACUUCAUUGGAAUUUUA
Molecule: long non-coding RNA, 605 nt
Organism: Glycine soja
Lineage: Eukaryota; Viridiplantae; Streptophyta; Magnoliopsida; Fabales; Fabaceae
Exons: 2
Source: RefSeq, a predicted model, not a curated record